AAUGCUAUUCUUUUGAAUUUUUUGUAUGCAGACUGAAGAGUGUUAAUAAAAACUGAAAAUGUUUUCUGCAAUUUUAUAGUUUUUACUUCUUUUCACCUGUCUCAGUGCAAUGCUUAUUAUUUAUCUUUUUAUAUUCUUACUGUUUUUUCAAUUUCUUCCGUACAGUGCAUAAAUAAUAAUCUGAAGAAGACACGGAAUGCUGCACAUUUAUAUGUAUAGGAAUCAUUUGACAAAACAGAAUGAAAACCAGUUCAUACAUCAGUUUUCUAUAGGCAGAUUUUACAUAAUGUUCCUUCUUUUAUGGACAAAUGCACAAAAGAAAAAUAUAGAUAUGCAAAUGUUAAAGGAAAGUCAAAGAAGAAAUUUUAAUAAAAAUAAUGAUUUAGCAGCAAAGAAUGAAGAGUUGAAUCUAAAAUGAGGCAGAAAAAUGACUUGAAGAGGAAUCCUUACCAAUAACAAGAGAAGAUAAAACUAAGAAAAUGAUUAGGCUUAAAAGAUAAACAUAUGAAACAUAUCUAAACAUAUAUACAAGGUGGUUCAAUAAGUUCGUGGAGCGCCAUCUAUUAGUCAAUAUUAGAUCUAAAACUUUGAC
RNAcentral lists this long non-coding RNA (592 nucleotides) under Androctonus crassicauda. Lineage: Eukaryota; Metazoa; Arthropoda; Arachnida; Scorpiones; Buthidae. The record is from RNAcentral.